RNAcentral lists this ribosomal RNA (433 nucleotides) under uncultured bacterium. RNAcentral describes it as "partial 16S ribosomal RNA". It matches the Rfam family "Bacterial small subunit ribosomal RNA", at positions 29 to 507 of the family's 1533-position model. The record is from RNAcentral.
AACGAACGCUGGCGGCAUGCCUAACACAUGCAAGUCGAACGAGACCUUCGGGUCUAGUGGCGCACGGGUGCGUAACGCGUGGGAACCUGCCCUUAGGUUCGGAAUAACUCCCCUAAAGGGGUGCUAAUACCGGAUAAUUUCUUCGGACCAAAGAUUUAUCGCCUUUGGAUGGGCCCGCGUUGGAUUAGCUGGUUGGUAGGGUAAAAGCCUACCAAGGCGACGAUCCAUAGCUGGUCUGAGAGGAUGAUCAGCCACACUGGGACUGAGACACGGCCCAGACUCCUACGGGAGGCAGCAGUGGGGAAUAUUGGACAAUGGGCGAAAGCCUGAUCCAGCAAUGCCGCGUGAGUGAUGAAGGCCUUAGGGUUGUAAAGCUCUUUUACCCGGGAUGAUAAUGACAGUACCGGGAGAAUAAGCUCCGGCUAACUCCGUG